AAAAAAGGCUUCUGUCAUGAGUGACACAUGUAGGGCACCUCAAUUGCUCUUCAUGAGGAAUCAAUAUCAAAAGAUUUCAGAAGCAUAAUUUUUGUUGCUAGGGCACUCAA
This 110-nucleotide small nuclear RNA is filed under the name Dasypus novemcinctus (nine-banded armadillo). Its description in RNAcentral is "U11 spliceosomal RNA (ENSDNOG00000030699.1)". It matches the Rfam family "U11 spliceosomal RNA". The record is from RNAcentral. Lineage: Eukaryota; Metazoa; Chordata; Mammalia; Cingulata; Dasypodidae.